GUCGAGCGGAUGAAGAGAGCUUGCUCUCUGAUUCAGCGGCGGACGGGUGAGUAAUGCCUAGGAAUCUGCCUGGUAGUGGGGGACAACGUUUCGAAAGGAACGCUAAUACCGCAUACGUCCUACGGGAGAAAGCAGGGGACCUUCGGGCCUUGCGCUAUCAGAUGAGCCUAGGUCGGAUUAGCUAGUUGGUGAGGUAAUGGCUCACCAAGGCGACGAUCCGUAACUGGUCUGAGAGGAUGAUCAGUCACACUGGAACUGAGACACGGUCCAGACUCCUACGGGAGGCAGCAGUGGGGAAUAUUGGACAAUGGGCGAAAGCCUGAUCCAGCCAUGCCGCGUGUGUGAAGAAGGUCUUCGGAUUGUAAAGCACUUUAAGUUGGGAGGAAGGGUUGUAGAUUAAUACUCUGCAAUUUUGACGUUACCGACAGAAUAAGCACCGGCUAACUCUGUGCCAGCAGCCGCGGUAAUACAGAGGGUGCAAGCGUUAAUCGGAAUUACUGGGCGUAAAGCGCGCGUAGGUGGUUUGUUAAGUUGGAUGUGAAAGCCCCGGGCUCAACCUGGGAACUGCAUUCAAAACUGACAAGCUAGAGUAUGGUAGAGGGUGGUGGAAUUUCCUGUGUAGCGGUGAAAUGCGUAGAUAUAGGAAGGAACACCAGUGGCGAAGGCGACCACCUGGACUGAUACUGA
Molecule: ribosomal RNA, 687 nt
Filed under: Pseudomonas sp. PNR-1
Lineage: Bacteria; Pseudomonadati; Pseudomonadota; Gammaproteobacteria; Pseudomonadales; Pseudomonadaceae
Description: bacterial SSU rRNA
Rfam family: Bacterial small subunit ribosomal RNA
Source: RNAcentral